ACAGGUCACACGAGUUUGAUCAUGGCUCAGAAUCAACGCUGGCGGCGUGCCUAACACAUGCAAGUCGAACGAGAAAGCUGUCUUCGGACGGCAAGUAAAGUGGCAAACGGGUGAGUAACGCGUGGGACAUCUACCCUGAUGAGGGGAAUAACUCUCCGAAAGGAAAGCUAAUACCGCAUAUACCGUGCAAACGGGAAAGGCCUUCGGGUCGCAUCAGGAGGAGCCCGCGUCCGAUUAGCUAGUUGGUGAGGUAAUGGCUCACCAAGGCGACGAUCGGUAGCCGGUCUGAGAGGACGGACGGCCACACUGGGACUGAGACACGGCCCAGACUCCUACGGGAGGCAGCAGUGGGGAAUUUUGGGCAAUGGGCGCAAGCCUGACCCAGCAACGCCGCGUGGAGGAAGAAGGUUUUCGGAUCGUAAACUCCUGUCCCAUGAGACGAAAAAAAUGACGGUAUCAUGGGAGGAAGCCCCGGCUAACUCCGUG
Molecule: ribosomal RNA, 486 nt
Filed under: uncultured bacterium
Lineage: Bacteria
Description: bacterial SSU rRNA
Rfam family: Bacterial small subunit ribosomal RNA
Source: RNAcentral